Molecule: ribosomal RNA, 326 nt
Filed under: uncultured eukaryote
Lineage: Eukaryota
Description: partial 18S ribosomal RNA
Rfam family: Eukaryotic small subunit ribosomal RNA
Source: RNAcentral
CCCUUAGAUGUUCUGGGCCGCACGCGCGCUACACUGAUGCAUUCAACGAGUCCAACCUUGACCGAGAGGUCCGGGUAAUCUUUGAAACUGCACCGUGAUGGGGCUAGAUUAUUGCAAUUAUUAAUCUUCAACGAGGAAUGCCUAGUAAGCGUGAUUCAUCAAAUCGCGUUGAUUACGUCCCUGCCCUUUGUACACACCGCCCGUCGCUCCUACCGAUUGAGUGUGUUGGUGAGGAGUUUGGAUUGGCCUCGGAAGGUGGUUCGCCACCGUCCGUAGCUGAGAAGUUCUCCAAACCGCCCCACUUAGAGGAAGGAGAAGUCGUAACA